CCUUCGAUAGCUCAGCGGGUAAAGUGGAGGACUGUAGAUCCUUAGGUCGCUGGUUUGAGUCCGGCUUGAAGGA
Molecule: non-coding RNA, 73 nt
Organism: Cervus elaphus (red deer)
Lineage: Eukaryota; Metazoa; Chordata; Mammalia; Artiodactyla; Cervidae
Source: the annotation of a RefSeq genome assembly